GUACGAACUUCAUAUACCAUUCUGUAAAAUAAUAAUCUGCAUUGUCCCUGAUAAUGUAACAAUCAACCAAUGUAAUGCCAGUUUUGAAUUUUAUAGCGGGCUGAGAUGAGUGAAUGGCCUUUUGCAUAAACGCUAGGUUAGCGAGCAUUGAGUUGUGAAAUAAAUUUUCUGCCCUUUUUACCUCGACAGAAAGCCUAAGGUACUCUGGGCUGGCCUGGACAAGAAAAUGGUUGCCAGAAGGAAGACAGAUGUCUCAAGAGCAGUUAACCAGAUGUCUUUGUGACGCCUCCAUGCGAAUCCUCUUCUUGAACGCCAGGUUCCCUGGUUCAUGCCAUGACCCAGCUGUAUGGGCUGCCUGCAACCUGCGGCAAGCCACCUCAACCGUAUUUGAAGAAGGAGGGUGGCUAGUUGGCCACCAACCAUGACAGUGGCUACCUCCUCCAACCUUGGCUGAUGACACCAGUCCGCACACCAACGACACAAGAAGAAAAAGACUACAAUGAUUCACACAGCAGGACCCGCGUGUGCAUUGAACAAUGCUUUGGGUUGUGGAAGAUGCGGUUCCGGUGCCUACAGUGGUACCGCACGCUGCACUUUGCUCCUGAUCGAAGCUGCAGAAUCAUUAAUGCCUGUGCUGUGCUUCAUAAUAUGUGUUUGGCGUACAACACUCGGGAACCUCUCGAUGAUACAGAUGAAGGUGAUGGGCCAAGUGGGGAAGAGGUGGAACGUGGAGCAGCAGUGGAGCAGCAGGGGAGGCAGAGGAGGAGGGAGCACAGGAAGAGGGAGAGCAUGACCCUCAGCCUAUGAGAAAUCGUGCAGCACAACUUAAAAGCCAGCUCAUUGCGCAUGGUUUUAGAAGAAGAGGAUAACCUACCUCAUAGA
Ornithodoros turicata is the source of this 882-nucleotide long non-coding RNA. RefSeq lists it as uncharacterized. The record is from RefSeq and is a predicted model, not a curated record. NCBI's taxonomy places the organism in Eukaryota, Metazoa, Arthropoda, Arachnida, Ixodida, Argasidae. The transcript has 3 exons.